RNAcentral lists this RNase P RNA (434 nucleotides) under Myxococcales bacterium. Its description in RNAcentral is "RNase P RNA component class A". It matches the Rfam family "Bacterial RNase P class A". From Rfam's summary of the family: Ribonuclease P (RNase P) is a ubiquitous endoribonuclease, found in archaea, bacteria and eukarya as well as chloroplasts and mitochondria. Lineage: Bacteria; Pseudomonadati; Myxococcota; Myxococcia; Myxococcales. The record is from RNAcentral.
GGAGGUGGCCGGGGGAUCGCCGGCGGGCGCUUGCGCGCGCGGGAGGAAAGUCCGGGCUCCAUAGGGCAGGGAGGUCGCUAACGGCGACCCGGGGUGACCCGAGGGAAAGCGCAACAGAAAACAUACGGCCGAUGGCCAACGAGGCGCGGGGGCUUGCGAGAGAGCCCCUGCGAGGAGGCACAGGCGACGGUGAAAUCGUGGGGUAAGAGCCCACGCGCGACAGCCGGGUGACCGGCGGCGUGGCAAGCCCCUCCCGGAGCAAGCUCGAAUAGGCGCGCUGUCGAGGGUGGCCCGCCCGAAGUCCCUCACGGGGCGAGCGCACGGGUAGGAGUGCUGGAGCGGCGCAGCAAUGCGUCGCCUAGAUGAAUGAUCUCCGCCGCCGCCCGGGAAACCAGGCGGUGGAACAGGACCCGGCUUACAGGCCACAUCGGAAC